RNAcentral lists this ribosomal RNA (497 nucleotides) under uncultured bacterium. Its description in RNAcentral is "partial 16S ribosomal RNA". It matches the Rfam family "Bacterial small subunit ribosomal RNA", at positions 28 to 507 of the family's 1533-position model. The record is from RNAcentral.
GAUGAACGCUGGCGGCGUGCCUAAUACAUGCAAGUCGAGCGAACGGACGAGAAGCUUGCUUUUCUGAUGUUAGCGGCGGACGGGUGAGUAACACGUGGAUAACCUACCUAUAAGACUGGGAUAACUUCGGGAAACCGGAGCUAAUACCGGAUAAUAUUUUGAACCGCAUGGUUCAAAAGUGAAAGACGUUCUUGCUGUCCCUUAUAGAUGGAUCCGCGCUGCAUUAGCUAGUUGGUAAGGUAACGGCUUACCAAGGCAACGAUGCAUAGCCGACCUGAGAGGAUGAUCGGCCACACUGGAACUGAGACACGGUCCAGACUCCUACGGGAGGCAGCAGUAGGGAAUAUUCCGCAAUGGGCGAAAGCCUGACGGAGCAACGCCGCGUGAGUGAUGAAGGUCUUCGGAUCGUAAAACUCUGUUAUUAGGGAAGAACAUAUGUGUAAGUAACUGUGCACAUCUUGACGGUACCUAAACAGAAAGCCACGGCUAACUACGUG